UACGUAGGCGGAAUAUUAAGUCAGUGGUGAAAUCCUGCAGCUUAACUGUAGAAUUGCCAUUGAUACUGAUCUUCUUGAAUUUAGUUGAGGUGGGCGGAAUGUGUAAUGUAGCGGUGAAAUGCUUGGAUAUUACACAGAACACCGAUUGCGAAGGCAGCUCACUAAACUAACAUUGACGCUAAGGUACGAAAGCGUGGGGAGCGAACAGGAUUAGAUACCCUGGUAGUCC
Molecule: ribosomal RNA, 229 nt
Filed under: uncultured bacterium
Lineage: Bacteria
Description: partial 16S ribosomal RNA
Rfam family: Bacterial small subunit ribosomal RNA
Source: RNAcentral